RNAcentral lists this long non-coding RNA (1018 nucleotides) under Zea mays. RNAcentral's name for it is "long non-coding RNA (ZMAY_LNC000536)". The record is from RNAcentral. Lineage: Eukaryota; Viridiplantae; Streptophyta; Magnoliopsida; Poales; Poaceae.
GGCGAAUCAGGCCAGAUCUAGCUAGCUAGCACUGCAGUCUCGGCGGCGAAAAAUAUCUCGUCAGCACAUGAAUGAAGCGAUGUUAUGAUCAGAUAUGCGGACAACUGAAGGAGCGCGUGCGUAAGACAUGCGUGUAAAUUACUUCACCCAGCAGACCGGUGAAAAGCCAUGGACAAAAGCAAGAAAAACACGCAAAGGUAUAGUAGGAGGCACAAAACAAGACAUCUAGUUCCUUGUUCUUUCAGAGAGAGAGAGACUAAUAAUAAGAAGAAUAUACAAGAAAGAGAUCGGGCGAGCACCACAAUAUGUAGUUUCUGAACCCCAACAGUCGUUAUAUCGUCGUCAGUGAACUGAUGAGCGUAUAUAGGACGAUGGGCCCACCAAAAAGCACUCAGCUUGAGAGGGCGGAGGGCCGUGCAUACGAAUACGAUCACAUGCAGAUAAACAUCGGCAUCGAGCAAAGGAAGGCACAGACUGCUAUCGAUCGUAGGCUCGUAGCAGCAUGUACAGCAGCGUACCUGGUGAGAUGGAUUGACGCAGCAGCGUAGCAUGUCCAUGCAUGCCAGUUUUAGCUAGCUGGGUCGCAUGAGGAACGAACAGAUCCUGUGACUGGUCGUCGUCAACCUCACGCAGCGACGACGAUGGAGACACGGACGCAGAGGGGCAGAAGAGAGGUAGACGAGAGACAAGAGGAAGAGGGGUUGGACGUUGGAGGCACCACGCCGAGCAGAUGCAGUGCAUCUGGCGCAACUAGUCAUCGGCGCCCGUGCAAGUUGCUGCGAUGGUGCGCGAAUAUAAUAUGCGCGAAGGCGGAGAGGGGGAGGGGGCUUUUGCGAUGGGAUCCAGGCGGGGGCAGGGGUUCAUUCGUCUCCCCUGGCCGCAACCCCCGCCCGACGCCUGACCUCAGUCUCGGACGUGCUUCACGCUGCCAUUUGCUCGGGUUUUUCCACGCGCCAGCCAGGAGGCCCCCACCGCUGCUCACUCAGCAGCAGCCUGCCAUGCCAGCUCCGGCUAAGCU